UGGGGAAUAUUGGACAAUGGGCGAAAGCCUGAUCCAGCGAUGCCGCGUGUGUGAAGAAGGCCUGCGGGUUGUAAAGCACUUUCAGUGGGGAGAAUGAACCUAUUCCUAAUAUGUAUAGGGAAAGAUGUUACCCACAGAAGAAGCACCGGCUAACUCUGUGCCAGCAGCCGCGGUAAUACAGAGGGUGCGAGCGUUAAUCGGAAUUACUGGGCGUAAAGCGUGCGUAGGUGGUUGCAUAAGUUAGGUGUGAAAUUCCUGGGCUUAACCUGGGAACUGCGCCUAAUACUGUACAGCUAGAGUAUUGUAGAGGAAAGUGGAAUUUCCGGUGUAGCGGUGAAAUGCGUAGAUAUCGGAAGGAACAUCAGUGGCGAAGGCGACUUUCUGGACAAAUACUGACACUGAGGCACGAAAGCAUGGGGAGCAAACAGG
This 429-nucleotide ribosomal RNA is filed under the name uncultured bacterium. RNAcentral describes it as "bacterial SSU rRNA". It matches the Rfam family "Bacterial small subunit ribosomal RNA", at positions 355 to 776 of the family's 1533-position model. The record is from RNAcentral.